This is a long non-coding RNA of Callithrix jacchus (white-tufted-ear marmoset), 3893 nucleotides long. RefSeq lists it as uncharacterized. The record is from RefSeq and is a predicted model, not a curated record. Lineage: Eukaryota; Metazoa; Chordata; Mammalia; Primates; Cebidae.
GCCCGCCAGCCAGGUCCUCCCGUCACUCCCACCAAUGUGCGUUGUUGGAAGUCAGUUCCCCUCUGCUCCCUCCCCAGGCCUGCUCCAGCCUCAGCCCGCCCGCCCGCCGCGGGUAGGCUCCAAGGCCUCGGCCCAGCUGCCCGCGGGCACUGCCGGGUCAGCGGCACACGCACCUGACGGGGCGGCUCUGACGGCGGCGACGGAGGCGGUGCCCAGGACCGGGCUCGCGGCCUAGUCUUACGUUGGCGGCGGCCACACCCCUAACCAGGCAGGGGCCGUCCGCGCUGCCUCGGGACUGCAGCCCUGCUUGCCAGCCAGGCGGCGGGCCGAGAGGCGGGGCGAAGGACUGACUCCGGGGCCGGGUCGGGCGCCACCUCUGGAACGCCUGGUAAUCCAGACAAGUGUCUUGAAUUACAGUUUUCAAAAGACUCAGAGGCUAAACACUUUGUAAUAAUCAGCAGUGCCUCAGAAAAUGAGCCCUCCAGAGAGGAUGACAAUGAUCCAGAACACAGCUCCCCAUCCAACCAAUGGGACAGAGUGGGAGCAAGAAAGGAAUCUCUGCUGUUUUAAGUUGCUGAGACUUUGAGAUUGUUACCAUAGCAGCUGGCCUCUCCAAACUGUUACAGCCCUUCACUCCCCCCAUCAGCCUACAUUGUAUUGUGUCCAUUAUGGAAAUUACCAACUGAUAAUUUCCACUUAUUUUAUUUACUGAUUUUAUUUCCACUCUGCAACCCACACCAAGUUCAUGAAAGUUCCAUGUGAGCAGGGUCUUCGUCUGUGUGGUUCACCACUGAACCUUCUGCUUCUUGAAUUUUCCAGCGCAUAGUCAGUAGGCAAAUAUUUGUAGAUUGAACUUCUGAUGGAUUGCACAUACAAGCACUUGUUUGUGAAUGCUAUUUUGCCAACAAAACUGGAAGAAAUAAAUCUUGCACUCAGCAUCUCUGAAGCACCAAAGCCUAACAUUUCACUCUGCUAUUGUGGGCUGGAUUGACGGCUUGGGUUUCACCCUUCCAGCUAAUUUGCAGGAAGCCAAACUGCUCCCAAUGUUGCCACGAUUCCAUGGUCAGAAAAGGCCUGGCUGGAGAUCUUAUACAGCAGAUAAAGAAAAAUAAAUGAAACUUUACAACCAUGAAUUGUUAAGAGUGAAGUCACCCAGAGUUUGGAGACAGAGUGGGACAGAAUUGAUUUUGGUACUGUUUUUACCUCUGAAAGAUGUUGUUUUACCCUUUUAAAAUUUUCUUCGCUGACUUAAUGUAAUUCCCCCUAAAUGUCCAAGUCUCAAAUUUCACUAUUGUCGAAAAAUAUUAGAACUGAACAAACCUUAGUGAUCACUGAAUUCAGACUACUCCAUUUAUCACCUGGCUUAAUUUUAAUUGGAAACCUCUUAGGGUCUCACUGUUGUCUGUUGGGGGCUUAGAGUUUAGAAAUUCACAUUAGCGAUAGUGUUGCUCAAAGCUGUUGCCUUUUCUGGUACUACCAAGUAGGUUUAAAAAUAUUCUUUGCUCGACCACCCCCUUAUGUAUUUGUAAUAAUGCUAUAAAGAUCACACUUAAAAGAUUAACCCUACAAUAUUUUUAGGUUUUAUAUUUUUGCUCACCUAACAUCUUUCCUUGAUGUUUCAAAAUGUCUAAGGUAUUAAAGAAGUAAGCGCCUUAAAACUAUGAAGUAGGACACAGUAGUUUCUUCAGGGACCCUUGAAGAAGGUAAUUUUAUUCUACUUAAUUAGCUUACUCUCCUAGACCCUAACAGACUAGAUCCAUAACAAACCAGUGUAUUUUGUCCAACUUGCCAAGAAGCGCAUUAACAAAAAAUUAAUUCAAUAAAUGUUUGAUGUCAAACUAUCAAUUCUCAACAUUAAGAGACGGCAAUUUUUAUAAUCUUGUUCAGUUUUAUUAAACAGGUCCUAAUCCUGAAAUUCAGGUACUGUUCACCUGCAGCUAAAUCUGAAAACCAAAAAGAAAACCCAGGUGCUAUUUCCCCCACGGGCUGAAAAUGGGACAGUGUGACUAUUUCAAGUCUCUCCAACACAAAGCCGUAUUCAAUCAAGAAAAAUCAUUUACAUGUGGUUAAGGAAACAGGAAAUUUUCACAUUGGCUUUCAUAUUUAUAUUUUACCAAAAUUUUCCUGAACUCAGUAAUCAUUACUACCACUUUUUAUAGUAUUAUUUACUGCAUCUUAAAAAAAAAAAAACUAAGCAGAAAGUGUACAGUUGAAGAAAACUGGAUGUCAGUCUACAAUGAUUUACUUUUGGCAUGACAGACUUUAUUUUGGCACUUUCACAAAUAUUUUGCUUUACAGCAGUGACAAAAUAUUUGCCAGAAAUUUUUCUUUUCCUGGCACGGAUAUUCCAACCAGUUGUUAUUCUUUGAAUUGAAUUUCACUCUUGCUUCGCACAGUUAAGAGGUAUACCCGUUCCUACCCUCUGUUACUGAGGGACACUGUGUGGCUUUAGAAGGCGCUAUCGUUUCCUUUAGUCACUCUAAAGUGAAUUGAUUCUAUAAGUGAUGGGGCAGGAAUUUGAGAAUUAAUUAAGGCCAUUAGGACUUAAGUAAACACUGUUCCAAGUGUUGCUUAAAAAAAAUUGUUUUUAAUGAAUUCUGUGGCAAUUCCAGGGAAUGUUCUCCAAAUAAAGUAUUCAUACUUUAUUAAAAGUAAAUUGUACGUUGGAAAAGUUGCUGUUUUUACUGUCUUCUUCCUUCUUGGAUGGCUCCCAAUUUAAAACAAAAUUAAUAAUAAAAUAGAAAAAGGAAAUGUUUAGUACAGAAAGUACCAGCCAGGGUACCCUCAUACCUCCAUCUCCUUCCCCAGGCAUCACUCUUUUCAACCAUUUCAAUCCUAAAGCAGUGAGGCCCUCAUUUUAACACACAGAGCCUCCCUGCCUAUCUUCCUUCCCUGUAAGGUGAGCUACUAUAGUCCAUUUAUAAGUUCUUUAGUUAAGCUUCAGUAGACAUUUGGAGCACAAUUUCAUAGGUAAGUCAAUCUAUACGCCUAAGCUUUAGAUACCAACAUCAGGAAAGCCCCCUUCAGAUCUUUGGAAUUUAUAGUCUUAAAAGUUCUUUGCAAAAGCAGGCGUCUGUCUUAAUGUUGCCAACAGCUAUUCUAUAAAGGUUGCAAACUUCAAAAUUCCCUGGCAGCUUUCCAAUAUCUCUACCUAGACAUACACAGGAUAAUACAUUCAGAUUUCCUCUAGCCAAUUCAGAAGUGAAUCUGGUAACGAAGAGUCUCAUCAACAGGCUCUUUGGUGUUAAUUUACAGACACUGUGGAACACUUAGAAAUCAAACCCACGUCAUCCUUGAGAGCAGACGGCUGUUACAAAGGGGAGAUGUACAUUUGAUCAAAAAUGCACAAAAUUUAUAACAGUGACAUUUUCAAUAUUAGGCCACAUGAUUUAUUCAGUAGUUUUGAUGUUCCCAAAUUACAAUUUAUGUCUAUUCAUAAGACUACAAAAGUUACCAUUAGAAUUGUCUGUGCUUAUAAAAUACCAACUUUUUUUAAACUGUUAUAUAUACUCAUUAACACCAGUCUGCAACAGGUUACAUAGAAUCAGAGGCACUUCAAAGGCUUAAAAAGACGUUUACAACUUAAAUGCAUUUUUAAGAACAAAAAUUUGAUUUUUCUUUAAACCUCUACUCAUACCUUCAAAUUGCAAGAAAUUAACAAAUACAGUGGCCAAAGGAAUCUGCAGCAACUUCUUAAAACACUGUUAGCAUCUUUGGGUUUGCUGAGGCUUGUCAGUAACUUACAUCAAAUCCUCCCAAAAGAAGAUCUGAUUAGACAGAUACGACUAAACAGUUUUGUAGUAAGAAUCCAAUUUUACACAUUAAUUUGCUGUUGCAAAUCUGCCCAAAGCUACAGAUAAUAAAAAAUAAAGCAAGUGUAAAAUGGAUAGUCU